This 154-nucleotide non-coding RNA is filed under the name unclassified sequences. RNAcentral's name for it is "DUF2800 RNA". It matches the Rfam family "DUF2800 RNA". Rfam says of the family: Actinobacteria, Firmicutes, Synergistetes (1 example). Terminator (Clostridia) The record is from RNAcentral.
CUGUCUCAGUGUUCAUCCCCUGAUCAAGGAUGCCCGAAACGGUGAGGCGGAAAGCAAAUUAAAUAACGUCAACCCAUCGGGACGGUUGGCCAGUUAAGAAGUGAGGAUUCAUUCUUAUGGCCAAUUAUUAUGGGAAGUCCUGUGUGGAUUCUCA